CACGGAUCAGUUCUGUCCGGUCGCCCAGCUGUGAGAACAUGAGCCCGUACACUGUCCAUGCUGCUGGGUUAGCCCAGUACACCCACCUCCACCAUAUCGGGAUCAGCUGCAUCCACAUUGCCACAUUGUUGUUGUUCAUUAGGAAUUAAAUGAUGCCCAAUUUGACUAUGUUCUCUCUAGUUAGCGUUCUCAUUAAAGUGAAAAGGUUAGGGGGUUAAUUGACAGAGUGAGACUAGUACCUCUCUCCCAAUGAUGAAGCCGGAGAAGACGUUCCAAAAGAUGAAGAUAAGGAAGGACAAUCCGGCAGCUAUCUCAAGGCAAGCCAUGCACUGCGCCCUAAAGUUCUGCCAAUAUCCUGGGGGAAAAUGUAGAUCCACGGUGUUUGGCGCUGGUUGGCCCAGCUCUUCAAUUAGAAGCAUGUUCUCCCUGCAGAAACAAGGGAGGAGCUCCGGUAAAUUUCUGCAUAGUCCACUCCAGUCACAUAUUCUGUUAUGUGUGAACUUAUAUCCAACACCCAUGCUGCUGGGUUUUGUCCCUCUUUUAUUCUAGGAACACCAGCACGGGCAUCCAAGCCAGUGGUUGGCUCGUCCAUGAAUAUAAUGGAAGGACUAGCUACCAGCUCCACUGCUAUUGUUAGCCUUUUUCGCUGCUCAGCUGACAGGCCAGUUGCUCCUGCUAUUCCCACCAUGGCAUUCUUCAGUCCAGUCAAUUCAACUAGGUCCAUUACUUCAUCUAUAAACAUCUGAAACAUGUUUGUAGGGAAAUCUUGUUAGAUCUAUUGUUAUAUAUUAGCUUCAAAGAUGAUAAAGAUUGCAAAAGGUCAAUGCUUAUACAUCUCUUUGGCGAGAGUUAACGUUCGAAGGAAGUCGAAGCCAUGCUGAGAACUGUAGUGACUCAUGCACAGUGAGGUUAGGGGAGUGAAUGUCACUCUGUUCACAGUAGCCCGAGAUCCUUGAGAAUGUGUCCUGCUUCUUUGGGUAUCCUGCUAUCCUAAUAGUACCUUCAAUAUAUCCUCCAGUUUUUCUUCCAGCCAAAAUGUCGAGCAAUGUUGUCUUUCCAGCACCAGUGAUCCCCAUCAGAGCUGUUAACACCCCUGGCCUGAAAACACCGCUGACAUCUUGCAGCAGUUGAAGCUUUUUCUCUGUUACUCCAUACUUAAUCAUUUCCUGGUGGAAGAUAUGCAUACGUUUGGUCAAACGUGACUGGAAAUGAAAUGGAUGCAAGUAUUCAGUAAGGCACUAUGUGCUCAAGAUGUUACCUUAGGCAUGUCAACAAAAUAGUUGAUAUGAUCAAAUACAAGGGAAAGAGGCUGAAACGGGAGGGCAACUUGACCAGUUGAUGCAUUGCGAGUUCCAACUUUUUGUUUCUUACACUCCGUUUUUGUCUUCGUGGAAUCGAUAUUAACUUGAUGCUUGUGUGGAGCUACAAAUUAUGAACAAAUAUGAUGAUUUUGUUUGCAUUUAUGUUUCAAUACUUAUGAGGAUUUUGAUAGCUUUGGUAUACAUACAGUUCAUGAACUCUAGUGCAAAUAUAGUGAGGAUGUUGAGGACCAGCGAGAAUCCAAAUAAAAUGCCGACACAAAUCCAGUACCAAUGCCACUCUGUGAGCAACCCCCUGAUCUUGAGGAUAGCUUCACCAACUGUUUUAGCAUUUGCAUAGUAAAAUUCCUGUCAGCAUGAAAAAUCAUCAUCAGGUCAUAACUAAUUGCACGGGUUAUGUACAUUGGAUCAAGAAUGUUAGUUGAAACAAUUGCUUACAAUAGCCCAUCUUUCAUCAAGGAACUCAUUUAGGGCAACAGCAUUCUGUGCAUAGGUGAAUGGGGAUGUCCAGUAUCCCCACUGCAACCAUGGUUGGAGGUUAUCUGUUUCAAUGUACAAAACUGUUAAGCAUCUUCGUUGCACAAGUACUCAUACAUCUUACGUUAUUCUGAGCUAAAACAUCUAACCUUUUGAUAUGACAAAGCCUCCAAAUAUGUAGAUUGCUAUGAGAGCUGCAGUGCCUAGCAUGUUGGCCAUUACUUGCGUCCUUCCUAUUGCCGCUAAGAAACGAUAGAGGCCCAUUGACAUUUGAUGCAUGGCAAAAAGUACCAAAAACUGCUGGAUGAAUCUGCAAGAAGCAAGAGAUCGUCUUUCGCAGGUUGUGGGAGAUAGGAUGAACGAAAAGAUUCUGCAAAUUUUUCGAUUGACCGGUAAUCGUGGAUUACUUUGGCUGUGUUAGGGGCGUUCUCAGGCUCGCUCUACUGUGUAGGAAAUGCUGGCGCGUGCUGUUCAUCUCAUGAGAAAUCAACUAGCAAGGAACAAGACUGCAUUAAAGCCGUUGCCGUAGCUGCUGUCGUCUUCUACACCGAAUGCUACCUCAGGAAUGGCCACGCUACGCUCAUGAAAAUUGUAAAGACCAGGUACCAAAAUGGAAAAUUCCCCAGGCUAGAUCUGUGCUGUGAUGGUUGUGCUGUCCAGAAGACCCUGCCUACAGUCCAACGAUAUACUACUCCCUCAUAAUGUAAGAUAUUUUUUGACACUAUGAUACGGUACCAAUGACGGAGCUAAUGAAGGAUCUCAGGGGGGCAAAUAGAAAAUAUGCAACUUUGAGGGGGCCAAAUGAGUGCACUCUACUAAAUUUGAGCCUUCACGAAGAAAUUUCCUUCACUAAUUAGCAAUGGCCGGGGGGCAGCGGCACCCCAAGUAAUACAUGUAGCUCCCCUGUAUGUAUGGGACGGAGGGAGUAGCUCUGUUUAUGGUAGGCUUAGUUGGGGCCAACCUAUUUGUACCAACAUUUCUUUUAGCAACUAUAGUAUCUGUGUAAACAUAUGAUCAUGUUUUUUUUUCUUGAUGGACAUAACGCCAUGUUUAGUGUAUAUAUCAGUGUAUUACAACAAACUGAA
This is a long non-coding RNA of Triticum dicoccoides, 2881 nucleotides long. RefSeq lists it as uncharacterized. The record is from RefSeq and is a predicted model, not a curated record. The transcript has 8 exons. NCBI's taxonomy places the organism in Eukaryota, Viridiplantae, Streptophyta, Magnoliopsida, Poales, Poaceae.